UUCACGGUAUAUGUCACUUGCUACCCUACAGCGAGUGCAUUCACAACAUACAACAAAUUACCUACAUCAAAACCAUGGCUGAAGGCCGAAAUUCUUUGCCCCAUUUCACCUAUUUGGAUAAAUUUAGUAUAACUAUACUAUGAACUUCUACCAUAUAUAAUAAGCAAACCUUUGAAAUCAUAUGUCACUUUCCACCAUACUUGAAACAGGUAUUACAUAUGCUAUUAUGUUACAUCUACCCUUACCAUAAAUGUAGUCACAACACAAAAUUUUCUAAUAGACUCCUACCAUUUCACAUAUAAGCUAAUGUGAAAUGUUACUGCAUCACUAUACUAUUUAAUUUAUUCAUAUAGUAUAGACAUCUCUUACAAAUCACUAUUUAUUGUCUCCCCCACAACCCAAUCUCACAACCGUAUGUUCUCCAUCGGAUGUUUCAAUACAGCCCUACACUUAGCUAGUUCCCAUUUUCAUGCUAAAAUAUUCAACUCAUGCAUGCAGUUUCCCAAUUUUACAUUUUUCCUCUUCCUCUGUUGCUCCCUUCACAGCGGAACGACAGCUCUGAUUUAAUUGCAAAUCUGGGUUCAUCGGAAACUGAUGAUUUGUCAACUAACGCUAUUCAAUCUAACCUUGCUUCCUGGCCUUCCGAUUUGCAACCGGUCGCGCUGCAGGGAAUCUGCAAUCGCUUCCUCCGCCUUAACUAUCAUUGUCCCUUUGGAACCCUAACUUUUUAAUU
This 733-nucleotide long non-coding RNA is filed under the name Brassica napus (rape). RNAcentral describes it as "long non-coding RNA (BNAP_LNC017267)". Lineage: Eukaryota; Viridiplantae; Streptophyta; Magnoliopsida; Brassicales; Brassicaceae. The record is from RNAcentral.